Molecule: ribosomal RNA, 254 nt
Filed under: uncultured bacterium
Lineage: Bacteria
Description: partial 16S ribosomal RNA
Rfam family: Bacterial small subunit ribosomal RNA
Source: RNAcentral
UACGAAGGGUGCAAGCGUUACUCGGAAUUACUGGGCGUAAAGGGCGCGUAGGUGGCCAACUAAGUCAGACGUGAAAUCCCUCGGCUUAACCGGGGAACUGCGUCUGAUACUGGAUGGCUUGAGGUUGGGAGAGGGAUGCGGAAUUCCAGGUGUAGCGGUGAAAUGCGUAGAUAUCUGGAGGAACACCGGUGGCGAAGGCGGCAUCCUGGACCAAUUCUGACGCUGAGGAGCGAAAGCCAGGGGAGCAAAGCGGG